Molecule: transfer RNA, 74 nt
Filed under: Candidatus Woesearchaeota archaeon
Lineage: Archaea; Nanobdellati; Candidatus Woesearchaeota
Description: tRNA-Cys
Rfam family: tRNA
About the family: Transfer RNA (tRNA) molecules are approximately 80 nucleotides in length.
Source: RNAcentral
GUGCUGGUGCCGGAGUGGUUUAACGGGAUGGAUUGCAAAUCCAUUAGUCGCAGGUUCGAAUCCUGUCCAGCACU